Molecule: small nucleolar RNA, 131 nt
Filed under: Drosophila ananassae
Lineage: Eukaryota; Metazoa; Arthropoda; Insecta; Diptera; Drosophilidae
Description: snoRNA:GF26145
Source: RNAcentral
UGGAGUCAAAGUGGCACUUUUCGGAAUACCCUUCUGAUUUGUGUCUCAAAAACUCCCAGAAAAACUAGUGAGACGAACGGCAUCCUGAAUAGUUCCUUGUAUUAUAUCAGAUGACUUGUGUUCGCCGACAU